AUCCUACUGGCAUCUUUUCUUUCAGGGAUUUAUCUUAUAAUGAAUUGACAGGGCCGGUGCCAGAAUUUUUAGCACAACUACCGAAUUUAAAUACUCUAAAUUUAAGUGGGAACAAGCUCACUGGAUCCAUUCCAUAGUCCCUUAUAGAAAAGUUUAAUAAUGGAACAUUGCAGUUGAGGUUUGAACGUCUUCUCUUGUCCAUCAUUUUAUUUUCAUCAUUUUCCAGCUAUUAAAUGAACCAAUGAAAAAAAAAUGAUGAUAUUGAAAUACAUAGGUUAUUUAAUAUCUGUUAUAUGACGAAUUGAUGAUGUCAUACUCAAUGCUAGCUUCGACAAAAAUCCAAAUUUAUGCCAGUCGGAUUCAUGUGAGGAAAAGAAACAUUUUCUUCUUCCAGUUGUUGCAUCAAUUAUAUCAAUAUUGAUGCUUCUGCUCCUAUGCAUGAUAGCUAUCUCUUGGAGACAUAGAAGACAGCAAGCAAUAGCGGAAACGCAAAAAUCAAAGAAUCAGACCUUUAGUUUCUCAGAGAUAAUUAGUAUUACUGAUAACUUUAAGACCGCCAUUGGAGGAGGGGCUUUGGAAAAGUUUACUUCCUAAAAGAUGGAACUCAAGUUGCAAUUAAGCUGUUAUCUCAAUCAUCAAAUCAAAGCUACAAGGAAUUUCAAGCAGAGGUUAGACAUAGCGCUACUGCAGCGUCAGUUUCAACCCAAUUGAAUCAAUUAUUUGUGCCUUUCUCCCUCUAUUACACGAUAGAUAGUACAAAUAAAUAUACACUCUGAUUAAUAGUGGUUUUUCAAAAUUAAAAAGUGCAGGUGCAGCUCCUGAUGGUUGUUCAUCAUAGGAAUUUGGUUUCACUAAUUGGUUACUCCAAUGAUAGUCAUAACAUGGCAUUGGUAUAAGAGUACGUGGUUAAUGGAAACUUGCAAGAGCAUUUAUCAAACAACUCUUGACAAUGAUAGCCUGAUGUAUUUUGGUUGCGGAGAAAAGUGGAAGUAUUCUGACCUGGAAAGAGAGAUUUCAAAUUGCAGUAGAUGCAGCUUGUGGACUAGAGUGUCUACAUAAUGGUUGCAAACCACCGAUUAUCCACAGGGAUUUGAAGACUUCCAACAUUUUAUUGAACGAAAAAUGGCAAGCAAAGAUGAUUUACCACCAAGGGUUAAAAUGGCAAGC
Hevea brasiliensis (rubber tree) is the source of this 1167-nucleotide long non-coding RNA. RefSeq lists it as uncharacterized. The transcript has 5 exons. The record is from RefSeq and is a predicted model, not a curated record. Lineage: Eukaryota; Viridiplantae; Streptophyta; Magnoliopsida; Malpighiales; Euphorbiaceae.